UACAGAGGUCCCAAGCGUUGUUCGGAUUUACUGGGCGUAAAGGGUGCGUAGGCGGUCGGGUAAGUCUGAUGUGAAAUCUCAGAGCUCAACUCUGAAACUGCAUUGGAUACUAUUCGGCUUGAGGUCUGGAGGGGGGACUGGAAUUCUCGGUGUAGCAGUGAAAUGCGUAGAUAUCGAGAGGAACACCAGUGGCGAAGGCGGGUCUCGGGACAGUUCCUGACACUGAGACACGAAGGCCAGGGGAGCAAACGGG
RNAcentral lists this ribosomal RNA (253 nucleotides) under uncultured bacterium. Its description in RNAcentral is "partial 16S ribosomal RNA". It matches the Rfam family "Bacterial small subunit ribosomal RNA", at positions 524 to 776 of the family's 1533-position model. The record is from RNAcentral.